GGUUAGUUUUUCGUGCUUCGAUCCUUCUCAAAUUCGUUCGUGGGGCCGGAUUAGACGGAUCUCAGACGUAGGUUCUUAUCGGCUCCCUGCCCAAGGAGGGGCUUGUGUUUGAUUAGCUAGUUGGUGAGGUGAUAGCUUACCAAGGCCCGGACUGGGACUAAGGCACAGCCCUGACUCGUACGGGAAGCGGCAAUGGAACAUUUUCCGCAAUGGGCGGAAGCCCGAUGGAGCAAUGUCACGUGGAGGUGGAAGGCCUACGAGUCGUCAACUUCUUUUCUCGGAGAAGAAACACUAACGUAUCUAAGGAAUAAGCCCAGAGCGGCU
RNAcentral lists this non-coding RNA (324 nucleotides) under Triticum aestivum (bread wheat). RNAcentral's name for it is "Bacterial small subunit ribosomal RNA". It matches the Rfam family "Bacterial small subunit ribosomal RNA", at positions 161 to 502 of the family's 1533-position model. Lineage: Eukaryota; Viridiplantae; Streptophyta; Magnoliopsida; Poales; Poaceae. The record is from Rfam by way of RNAcentral.